UACGUAGGGUGCAAGCGUUAAUCGGAAUUACUGGGCGUAAAGCGUGCGCAGGCGGUUUUGUAAGACAGAUGUGAAAUGCCCGGGCUUAACCUGGGAACUGCAUUUGUGACUGCAUGGCUAGAGUUUGGCAGAGGGGGGUAGAAUUCCACGUGUAGCAGUGAAAUGCGUAGAUAUGUGGAGGAACACCGAUGGCGAAGGCAGCCCCCUGGGUCAAAACUGACGCUCAUGCACGAAAGCGUGGGGAGCAAACAGG
RNAcentral lists this ribosomal RNA (253 nucleotides) under uncultured bacterium. RNAcentral describes it as "partial 16S ribosomal RNA". It matches the Rfam family "Bacterial small subunit ribosomal RNA", at positions 524 to 776 of the family's 1533-position model. The record is from RNAcentral.